RNAcentral lists this ribosomal RNA (885 nucleotides) under bacterium enrichment culture clone 2_39. RNAcentral describes it as "bacterial SSU rRNA". It matches the Rfam family "Bacterial small subunit ribosomal RNA", at positions 1 to 887 of the family's 1533-position model. The record is from RNAcentral.
CCCUUGUUUGAUCCUGGCUCAGAUUGAACGCUGGCGGCAUGCUUUACACAUGCAAGUCGAACGGCAGCGCGGGGGCAACCCUGGCGGCGAGUGGCGAACGGGUGAGUAAUACAUCGGAACGUACCUGGUAGUGGGGGAUAGCUCGGCGAAAGCCGGAUUAAUACCGCAUACGCACCACGGUGGAAAGCGGGGGAUCGCAAGACCUCGCGCUAUCGGAGCGGCCGAUGUCGGAUUAGCUUGUUGGUGGGGUAAAGGCCUACCAAGGCGACGAUCCGUAGCUGGUCUGAGAGGACGACCAGCCACACUGGGACUGAGACACGGCCCAAACUCCUACGGGAGGCAGCAGUGGGGAAUUUUGGACAAUGGGCGAAAGCCUGAUCCAGCAAUGCCGCGUGUGCGAAGAAGGCCUUCGGGUUGUAAAGCACUUUUGUCCGGAAAGAAAUCCGUCUGGCUAAUACCCGGAUGGGAUGACGGUACCGGAAGAAUAAGCACCGGCUAACUACGUGCCAGCAGCCGCGGUAAUACGUAGGGUGCGAGCGUUAAUCGGAAUUACUGGGCGUAAAGCGUGCGCAGGCGGCUAUGCAAGACAGGUGUGAAAUCCCCGGGCUUAACCUGGGAACUGCACUUGUGACUGCAUGGCUAGAGUGCGUCAGAGGGAGGUGGAAUUCCGCGUGUAGCAGUGAAAUGCGUAGAGAUGCGGAGGAACACCGAUGGCGAAGGCAGCCUCCUGGGAUGACACUGACGCUCAUGCACGAAAGCGUGGGGAGCAAACAGGAUUAGAUACCCUGGUAGUCCACGCCCUAAACGAUGUCGACUAGUUGUCGGGGAUUCAUUUCCUUGGUAACGCAGCUAACGCGUGAAGUCGACCGCCUGGGGAGUACGGCC